This 506-nucleotide ribosomal RNA is filed under the name Fusarium crassum. RNAcentral's name for it is "partial large subunit ribosomal RNA". The record is from RNAcentral. Lineage: Eukaryota; Fungi; Ascomycota; Sordariomycetes; Hypocreales; Nectriaceae.
GAAGCGGCAACAGCUCAAAUUUGAAAUCUGGCUCUCGGGCCCGAGUUGUAAUUUGUAGAGGAUGCUUUUGGUGAGGUGCCUUCCGAGUUCCCUGGAACGGGACGCCAUAGAGGGUGAGAGCCCCGUCUGGUUGGACACCGAUCCUCUGUAAAGCUCCUUCGACGAGUCGAGUAGUUUGGGAAUGCUGCUCUAAAUGGGAGGUAUAUGUCUUCUAAAGCUAAAUAMCGSCCAGAGACCGAUAGCGCACAAGUAGAGUGAUCGAAAGAUGAAAAGAACUUUGAAAAGAGAGUUAAACAGUACGUGAAAUUGUUGAAAGGGAAGCGCUUGUGACCAGACUUGGGCUUGGUUGAUCAUCCGGGGUUCUCCCYGGUGCACUCUUCCGGCCCAGGCCAGCAUCAGUUCGCCCUGGGGGACAAAGGCUUCGGGAAUGYGGCUCUCUCCGGGGAGUGUUAUAGCCCGMUGCGUARUACCCUGUGGCGGACUGAGGUUCGCGCAUUCGCAAGGAU